This 774-nucleotide long non-coding RNA is filed under the name Marmota monax (woodchuck). Lineage: Eukaryota; Metazoa; Chordata; Mammalia; Rodentia; Sciuridae. The record is from RNAcentral.
GGCCUCUCUGGGCCAGGCCAGCACACAGACAGGCAUCGUGCCCUGCUCAGUGGACAGAGACGCUGGACUCCCGGCCAGGUGCAUAGGGUGAGCAGGGCCCUAAGCAGUGGGUUCUGGUGGGUCUGGCCUCCACAUGGCCCAGCUGGUUCCUUGAACCAGUGGCCAGGGGGACAUGCCAUGCCAGGGUCAGGGGAGAGUGACCAACAACAACCAACAGGUGCUGUCAUCUGCAAGCUCAGUCCCUGUGUCAGUCCUCACAGCACCCGUUGCUCUGGGCGGGGAUGCUCCAGGGACCCAGGGAAACCGGGCUGGGCGCCCUCCCCAGAGCCAUGCUGGCCCUGUUUCCAUCCAGCUGAGACCCCAAGCAGGAGACCCGGCCCUGUGGCCCCAUGCCCAUGUCUGGUGUGGGCAGUGACCACAGGACCGUGUCUCCCUCACCCUUGGGCUCCUCACCCAAGUGCUCCCCAGGGCACAGGCCCAGCCCAGGCAUUUGGAGAGGAAGCAGCUUGCCCAGGUGACACCCGGGUACAAAAGCCCAGCAUGGCCGCACUUCAGGCUGUGGGCUGAGGGAAGAGGAGGGCCUGGAGAGAGGGCAGGCGCCGUGUGGCCGACCCCCGGGAGCCCUUCCUGGUGGUCCCUGGGACGCCUCUGGGUGGGCCUCCACUGGUGUCUGAGCCUCCCCAGAGGCCGCUCCUCCUCCUGCCUGGCCUGCCCCUAGAGCCUGCCUCCUAGGUGUCUGCAGCAGGAGCCCACCCGUCAGCCCCCGACCUUGAC